GCACUUGCAGUUCCUGCACAGUAGGACACCUCCUAACGACUGAGAAUUUGCUGCCUCCAAGUGGACACUGCAGAGAAUUUCAGAAACAAAAUCUAAACUCAAGACUCAAGUGCACACCUAUGCGUCUGAGUUCAUACUGAGUUCAACAGGACUUACUGUCAGGUAAAUAUGCAUAGGAUUGUAGCAAUAAAUAAAUCCCUGCAAAAUUUGAACUUGUACUCAUUAAAUAACACCUGACAAACAGUGAUACGCUUAAAAACUAUUGAAUAAAACGGGCAUAGGCAAACUCGACCCUCCAGUUGUUUUUGGCCUACAACUCCCAUGAUCCCUAGUUAACAGGACCAGUGGUCAGGGAUGAUGGGAAUUGUAGUCCAAAAACAUUUGGAGGGCCGAGUUUGCCUAUGCCUGGAAUAAAAAGUGGACCUGCUAUCUGACUAUUCAGUACCCUCCACCCAAAGUGAUGUGAAAUACUUCGAACAACCAGCAUGGCAUUGUACUUUUUAACGUAUUUGCAUCCCACCUUUCCUCAAGGUGUUCUGCACACAGUCAAUUAUACACAACCUGAAAUAAUUUAGUGCAGGAGAAGCAGUGGUCUUGGAGUUCAGAGAGAGGAGGUUUUGUGCUGCUCCAGAUGAAUGCACAGUUCUUUCCUGCUGAGGGAAAAAAGCUCUCUUCUGCCCAGGUUCUUAUCCUCUCUCCCCUAGGUCUCAGGGAUUAGUUGUUCAAGCCUUCUUACUUAUGCAGGACUGACUGAAUAUGUCAUUUUCUCUCUCAGUGCCUAAUUUUGGAAUCUUAAGUUCAGUUCUCAACAUUUCCACAUCAGUAUAUGUAUGUUUUAAAAGUUCCUCAUGGAAAUUCAUCAGCAAAUUUCUCCUUGAUACACAAUUUUGUAUGCAAUUUUCCCUAUAGAUACCUCUUUUACAAGAGAUUUUCAACAAUAUGAUGCAUUUUUGUGUGCUCUCUUCACCAAUAUAUGCAUUUUAACACAUGCUUUACCUAAAUUAUAUGCAUUUCUAUACACAUUACUUGGUUGGAGAACUGUACUGCAAAAUUCAGAGAAAUGUGAAUUUUUAAAGAUGGUUGAAUUUUGGUUUGCAUAUUGUUUUGGAAAGGGCAAAUAUGGGAGGUACCACUUUAACUGAAAACUGAAUCAAAUUCCUCCCCCAUCCCUGUUUCACACUGGUCCUGAAAGACCUACAUUGGCUUCCAGUAUGUUUCCGAGCACAAUUCAAAGUGUUGGUGCUGACCUUUAAAGCCCUAAACAGCCUCGGUCCAGUAUACCUGAAGGAGCAUCUCCACCCCCAUCAUUCAACCUGAGGAGUGUAUCCAUCCCCACCAUUCAUCAUUCAGACACUGAGGUCCAGCUCCAUGGGCCUUCUGGCGGUUCCCUCAAUGCGAGAAGUGAGGUUACAGGGAACCAGGCAGAGGGCCUUCUUGGUAGUGGUGCCCGCCCUGUGGAACGCCCUCCCAUCAGAUGUCAAGGAAAUAAACAACUAUCUGAUUUUUAGAAGACAUCUGAAGGCAGCCCUGUUUAGGGAAGUUUUAAUGUUCGAUGUUUUAUUGUAUUUUUAAUAAUUUGUUGGAAGCCACCCAGAGUGGCUGGGGAAACCCAGCCAGAUGGACGGGGCAUGUAUGUAUGUGUAAAUAAAUAAUCUCUGUUAUCCUGAUCACAGGUCGUUAGCAUGCAGCCAGAGACACAUUUGUCCUAGAACACUGGUGAUGGAUUGUGUCUUGAACAUGGGAUGCUCACCUGGGCUGAGGUCACACUUGGCUGAGUGCUACUCCUUAUCGCUCCAACAAGAUUAGGCAUCUUCAAUUUUGAUGUGCAUCUUUGCCAUGCUAGCUUCACUAUGAAACUUGGUCUUCCAACACCUUGUGUUGCUUUUUGUCCUGGUUGCCAGAGUGCUCUUUUCCAAGCUAAACAUGAAAGGCUGUUACUCAUGGACAAUAGUGCAUAAAUGUAAGAAAUAAAAAACAGUUUUUACUUAUGAGCUCGACUGAAAUCCUUAAAGGCUUCUUAUAAAUGAAGAGCAUAUAUGAGCCCAAACCACAUAAAAGCAUAUGCACCUUAUUCAAAUGUGUAAGAAAGGCAGUAGAUCUGGUUCUCUACCACGAGAAUAUUUUGGGCUACAACUCCCAUCAUCCUCAACCCAGUACAGCUGUGCUGGGCGCUAAGUUUGCCAAGGCCAGACUCUGUUUUUUCCCCCAUCUAGCCUGAAUCCGCUGCCAACCCAUUUCAUUGAAUUGUUGAAUCAAAGGAUUCUCUUAUUCACAUGCCAUCAUUUUAUAAACUUGCAUCAGGCCAUGUUACCUCCUUUCACCCCCACCCCAAAACACCUAAAAAGCUGCAAGUGUUUAAAUAGCCUUUUCUAAGUAAGAAGGAAGUCCCUCCCCCACCAAAAGGAGGCAGUGUUUCCUGAGAUAGGGAAGGGGAACAUCCCAUUUGUGUAUGAGCCGUUAUCUGCCUGUGCCUGCAGACUCGGGUUUUCUUGCUUCCCUUAUCGGAGAAACCAGAAACAGCCAGCAGCUCCCAAGAACUGACGAUAUGAAGCUGCCACAGAGUCAAUCCCAAGGCGGGAUUUAACACCGUAUUCUUUGGCCGCGGCAUUCCAAGGCCUUGGGGAGACAGUCCAAAUUUGCUACCUGACAUCCUUCUAUCUCAGAGCUGCAUUCCCUCAUGGGCGAACUUCUGGGGGCUUCUUGGCCACAGUAGGUGAGGCCAAAGGUUAAAGUGGGCGGAGCAAUGUAUGUGACUCUCCAGCCACCCCAAAUCCCAAGGCUUCUUCACCCCCUCCUACACCUCUCUCUUCAUCCUGGCAAGCAAGAGGCAUUCUCACAGUUCAAGGACAAAGUUCAGCCAGGCGAAAACACUCAAGGAGGGCAUGGAAGCAGGGCUGGUGAGAGGCGUAGCCUGGAGAGUGCAUCCCAGCAACCAUCCAUUUUUCUGUUCCAUAAGCUACUGAAGAGGCGUUGCUGCUAUGGACAAAUUAUGGAUAAAUUUUCCAACAUAAUUCACCAUCCCCCAGAAAUCUCUGGAUGUCCUUCUUUGAGCCCCUUGUGUAAUAGUCACUGUCUGAGGACAUGAUCUUUGAUACCACAGAUAAUUCUGUCCCUUAUCAAACUCUCUCUCUCUAGUCAGCAAAAUGACAAUUCUUACUCAAGCUUCUUAAUUCGGUUCUUAAUUUAUCAGAGUUUGGUCUACUUUUUGUAUGCACCUAAAGAACUUAUUUGAGUCUCAUUCUUUUUAGGCAUGCAGUGUUCUUCAAACUUGGGAUGCGGGUGGUGCUGUGAGUUAAACCACAGAGCCUAGGACUUACCAAUCAGAAGGUUGGCAGUUCGAAUCCCCGCGACGGGGUGAGCUCCUGUUGUUCGGUCCCUGCUCCUGCCAACCUAGCAGUUCGAAAGCACGUCAAAGUGCAAGUAGCUAAAUAGGUACCGCUCCAGCGGGAAGGUAAACGGCGUUUCCGUGCGCUGCUCUGGCUCGCCAGAAGCAGCUUAGUCAUUCUGGCCACAUGACCUGGAAGCUGUAUGCCGGCUCCCUUGGCCAAUAAAGUGAGGUGAGCACCGCAACCCCAGAGUCGGUCACAACUGGACCUAAUGGUCAGGGGUCCCUUUACCUUUAUUCUUCAAACUUAUCAAUAAUUGCUUUCGGUUUCAUACUCUUUCCUCCAGCCAUCCCAAACUCUCUGUUCUACAUGAAAAAAAAUGGAGAAUUUGAUCAUAUCCGGGGGUUUUUUCCUUCAGCCCCUGUUGCUACCAGGUACAAUCCAAACCUUUGUCGAAGCCUCCUCCAGUUAUUUGCAAUAUCAUCUGACGAUUUCAGGCUUGAUGGAAGCUGCAGAAGUUCCAUUUUUGCAAAGAUUUACCAGCACCUAUAUAAACCUUGUUGUUUUCUCUUGGUGUGAUUCCCACAGCUUCUUAUCUUCUGCAGUAUCUGGAACCCCUCAGCCAGGAAACCUCUGCCAGUUAAUACAACAUAAUCACCAUUCUCCACUUUCUCACACCAUGUAAAAUUUCUAAGUUGAAGAACAAGCACCAAAAAUGAGGAAUAGUUAAAAGAAAGAGCUAUAUGCAACCGAGCCUCUAAUACUCUGCUGGAAGUGAAACUAAAGGCCCAAACGAGGUGCCCAGGUAAUGUGACUCCAGGGCAAAUGCUUAAAUUGCCAAUUCCUUAACACUAAGGGAGUGUCAGCAAAUCACAAGCUCUAUCAUUACGGUACGUAGGUGUUUGAGAUGAAGGAGCUGGAAGAGCCAAACACUUAUUUUUAUGAUUUUCAGUUGUUGGCAAGGUCUCCAGUUUACUAGCCAAAAUAGUUUGGGAGGCUGCCCAGACGCAGUUAGCAUGACCACUUAAUCAACUCAAAAUAGCUGUUGUUCGUCAGCCUGCUCCAUUCUCCCUUGCCUAAGCUUCCACGGGGAAGAUGGUAUUUGCACACUCCACAAGGCACUGGCCUGUCUAAGCUGCAAAAACUAUUGCACAAACAUGCUAUCCAUUUCCUGUCCUUGAACCAUCUGCCUAAAAUACACAGAGCAGCUGUGCAUGCCUAGUUUCUAAACAUCAACAAAUGCCACAAGGCCAAAGCUCCCUAAACCAGAUGUGUGGAGAUUGGUUGUGGUUACUUAGUGGGGAGGGCAGUGCAUCCUCUGCACAUGUGCAGAUGCACUCUUGCAUGCAGUUAUCCCGUUGUAGAAAAUAACACCCAGGGCUGAAUAUCAGUGAGUUCUGGCUCAGAUUACCCGCAAACGUAUCGUGGUUUCAACUCUUUCCUCUCUGUCCUUCCCCCAGGACUCAGUUUGAACCAAGGUUUUUAAUUCUGGAACUGGAUUUCAGCCAUGCCACAUGCCUCUGAGCAUGUGCAGAGAACCCCAUCUCCCUUAUGAACAAGCAGCCAUGCACAGCAGUGGUAUCUGGUGCCCGUUGGGGCUGGCAAAGCAGAAGGCAGUGAGAUCAACAGUAGGUGGCGCCAAAGCCAGUGACAGGCAGAGCCACCCUGUGACUGGUUGUAAGGAAAAAGGCAAGGAAAUGUGGGCAGCCUGAGAGUAGACUGAGGCUGGUAGGGCAAUACCCCAUUUGCCCUAAUGGACCAGCUUCUGUUGAAUGAACAGCCUCCAUGGAUUUUGGAACUGAAAAUCCAGGGGGAGAAGAGAUUUUAGGUGGAACUGGACCCCGGCACCUUCCCAGCUCCACUUUAACCACUGUACUCUUUCCCUAUAGCUUUGAAAAGCUGGUAUCACUGGAUCAAAUUCAUCAGUUUUGUUGAACUAAUUAAACUAAAUAGUUUUAACUGGAUUUUGAAUAAAUGCGCAAUUAAGUGUUGCUGUUUUGAAUUCUAUUUUAUUAUUAUCUUUCUUAGUGGGUUGUGCAAAUCACUAUUCUGAAUAGUGCUUUUUAUAGGAUAGGGGGGCACUGGGGAUGAGUUUAUGGAACAAAGGGGACAGUGGCCCAGAAAAGUUUAGGAACCACAGGGCCUGAAUCUCCUUUUACUCAAAGCUCAGAAGAGCACCCCCAGUGGUGAAGCUGAGAGCUGCAUUGGACAAAGGAGAAGCUGGUCUGUGUUUGGGGGUUUCCGUUCCCUUUUGCUCAGCUGGGCCUUCAAUUAACUGAGUGGCUUGUUUCCUUUUCCUCAAUUGACGUGACCCUUGUGCAUUGUCAGGACAGGCAACAAUGAGUUGUUUGCGGUAAUGAAUGUUAUUCUUGAUGGGACAAGACAGGUGCUGAACGACACUCUGAUGUUUUAACAGAGUGGGGGAGUCAGUAGGCCCCUGACUCCGAGGACCUUGCAAACCCAAUGCACUUGCAAUAAAGGAAAGCCUGGUGGUACAGCAUCUGCUUUGUGUGGCAAGCAGUCUCCAAAUUAGUUCAUCUUAUCAUUUCCUUCUGCUGCCAUCAGGCUUCACGUCAAAGUGCCCCACCCAACUAGUCAGGUGCCUGAGGCAAACCACACAAGCCCACAUCACAAGGUUGUUGUGAGGUAUCUCACCAGGUUUGGUUCCCUGGUCUGCUGUGUCCUGCCUCUUAGUUCCCAGGCUCUACCCACUGCACCUCAGCCUCAGAGUACCACCAGACUUGGUAACCCCAGCACUGGGCCCGCUGGGAUGCUCAGGGGUCCUGUGUCAGGUGUGCCAAUGCAAAAACAGAAAGCACCCCUCCCCCGUUUGUGUGUUAGAAUCUGACUCCUGCCUUGAUGUGCCCAUUUCUGUUGCUGCUGGGGGGAAGGGUGCACCCAUCAACACUGGUUGAGGAUGGAAGAGGCAGUGGCUGCCCUUGGAAUAAAAAAUAAGGAUCUUGCAAAAGUGUCCCUAAUUUCAUCUUGGAGGAAAUGAAAAUGCUGCCUGCCAGCCAGCAGUCGGUUCUGGUCUCCAGAGCUAGGCUCACCCUCCCCUCCACAUAUUUUCCUUCCCUCUAGAGACAGCUGCACCCAGCCCAGGGGCCUCUCAUUGUGAGACUUAUCGGGGCUCUGCCAACAAUUGGCAGUUCGGGAAAGCAAAGGCCCAAACAAUCCGGGAAAGCAAAGGCCUGAACAAUAAGCGAAAGCGAAGGCUCCAACAAUCCCCUUUCCCCCUUCCGCUGGGGAGCGAGGGUUAAAUAUAACGUUGCGGUAAGAUGGGGGCGAUCUCAGACAAUGGGGAGUCCUGAGGUCUGGCUGGGCCAGAGGCUGCUGACAAAUGUGUAUGAACAGCCCGGCCAAAGGAAGCCUCCCUCAAUAGUUACUUGACAACUUCCUGUAUCCUGACAUUGUCACCCACCUCCAGACACACUUCCGCGGGAUCCUUCAUGAGACAGGUCUGGGGGCUUGGUGUCACCACACUUGGACUCACCUCCCAGCCACCCCUUCUCUGCCCAGUGACAUAACCUGUCCUGCCAAUGGGUAUUGUUACAAAACUCGUGUGCCUCCCCCUCUCUUUUUGCUGAGCCAUAGCAAGAAUCCAAGGGGUUCCAGUCACUCACACAGGGUCUGUGUUCCUCUGGAGAAUUGAGACACGGCGGAGACUGUCAUAGCUUUAAGAAAUAGGGCUUAUUCACCUAUUUACACAUUCGGUCUGCAUGGAGGGAGUCCAGAUUUUACAGCAUGGUCAUUUCUCGCACUGCAGCACAAGGGUGUGCAGUAUGGUGAUUUUUUCAGGGGGGAGGGUGAUAUAGCUCCUUGCCAAGGGGGCAAGGGAUCCUAGGUGCGCCUCUAGGUGAGCACUGCAAUCUGUGUGGCCUGUCGGAGAAUCACAGAAUUGAAGAAAUGGGAGGGACACCAAGGGUCAUCUAGUCCAACCCACUGCAAUGCAAGAAUCCUGCCCACAGUCAUCCCUGGAUGGGCUCAAACCACCAACCUUCUGGUUAACAGCCAGAUGCACUGACCCAUUGUGCCACAAGUCUCUUUAACAAUAAUAACAAAAUAAGUUUCUGAAAAUAGUUGCAUUCUCUGAUCUAGCCGUAUAAUUUAAUUGUUGAUUUCUGUUGGCCCCCCCCGCCCGAUGGAUAAAUUGUUAAUUAAUUAAGAAGGAGGAAGAGGAGAACAGAUACAAUUUAGUUACACAUUUUGUAAAUAAGAUUAUUAAGUUUAAAGAAUAUGUAUUAUUGUAUUUAGCCCAAGAACCACGAGUUAAGUGGCUAGUGGUGGCAUUUAUACAUACAUACAUACAUACAUACAUACAUACUUUUAUUACAUGCCACAUUUCCACAGCUCAAACCAUACUCAAGGCAGCUUACAACAUGAAAAAAUUACUUAACUGCAACAUAACCAAAGUAGUCAUAAAUGAAACAUUAAAAAAUACACGACCAAACCAAACAAUUUCCACAAGAUGUGAAACAAAGAUACAAAAACCCAGAGCAACAACAGCAACAACCCCCACAAACACCUCAGCCCCUCCCUUAUCGUUUCCUUUCCCCCCUAAUGCUUCAAUAAUUUAUUUUCUUUGUUUUGCUUUUAUUUCUCUUUGUGUACAUAAAUAAAAGUGAACAUGGAAGAUCAGAAUAGUUGUUGGGUAAGCAAUAUUAAGAACUCACACUCAAAAACCCCCUUUAAACGGUAUGUCCGUUGUGUCUCGUUUCCUGGUUGCCAGAAAUGAGAUGCAUCAAUGGAAAAGGGAGUCAUGUGGAGGCCACCAGGGACUGUGACAGGAAAAGGGGACAAACUGUAAGCCAGAUUCCCACGGUGUCGGGGGAAAGGGCAGAAAAGGAGCAUGAGAGGGGAGGGGGGAAGCCACGAAGCGGAGGGAGGGACAGUGUAUCCCCCUGGGAAUUCAAGAAGAAUGUGAUUCUGGACUUUCUUCAUCUGUAGCAUAGCUCUUUCUUUGCUUGACGUGGUGCUUCCAUCUUCUCAUAACAACCUAGGAGGAGCCUGGCCACUGGAUCAGGCCAAAGGCCCAUUUAGCACAACAUUCUGUUCCCACAGGGGCCAAGCAGAAGUCCCACCUGUGUUCUUUAGUGUUUAUUCUUAAAUAAGUGUCUUUAGGACUGGCAUAGGGUGGUCUUAUCCCCCUUUCUUUAAAAUAAUAAUAAUAAUCAUGUGGGGACAAAUGAGAAUCUUUUCAUCUAUCAACUGUAUAUAAACUAUUUCAUUUGCAACAAAAUGAAACACAAAAUCUUUCAUAAUAAUAAUAAUAAUAAUAAUAAUAAUAAUAAAAAAAAUUUAUUUAUACCCCCCCAUCUGGCUGGGCUUCCCCAGCCACUCUGGGCGGCUUCCAAAAAAAUAUUAAAAUACUGUAAUACAUCAAACAUUAAAAGCUUCCCUAAACAGGGCUGCCUUCAGAUGUCUUCUAAAAGUCUGAUAGUUGUUGUUCUCUUUGACAUCUGGUGGGAGGGCGUUCCACAGGGAGGGCGCCACUACCGAGAAGGCCCUCUGCCUGGUUCCCUGUAACUUGGCUUCUCGCAGUGAGGGAACCACCAGAAGGCCCUCGGCGCUGGACCUCAGUGUCCAGGCAGAACGAUGGGGGUGGAGACGCUCCUUCAGAUAUACUGGACUGAGGCCAUUUAGGGCUUUAAAGGUCAGCACCAACACUUUGAAUUGUGCUCGGAAACAUACAACGUACAAAAUGUUGAAGGAAGGCUAGAAAUUUGGGGACAUUUGUCUCCUUCCAGAGAAUUUUGUUGUUUUACUUGGUUUUUCUGUUAAGGGAUCUAAACUAGGAACUGAGGUCUUAGUGGAAAAUCUUUCACCCCCUCGGAGCCUUCUUUGGAGUACAGCCAGCCUUCUAGAAUUCCACUGGGAAAGAGAAGACUAGAUUGCAUAAUAAUUCAGCCUCCUUUUCUGUGGCUCUAAAUGCUUGCAUGUAUUUUCGUUGAUGGAGGUACGAAGGAAAUUCUAGGGCAGUCGUUUGGAAACUGUCUCAACUCUGUUUCCCAGAGCCACACUAGUAUGACUUGAGAGGAAAUAUAUUAAUGAAGUGCUGCUUUUAAACUUUAACAUCCCGAAUGGCCUGGAACCUGGGUACACCAAUAUCUUCUAUAUUUUCUUGCCCAUAUGCUUCAUGCAACAUCUGAGGCCUUGCUCCAGGUUCCACCAGGAUGAUCCUACUUUGCAGAGAAGAGUCCUCUAUUUGAAAGGGUCUCCAGUCCAAGUCUGCUUUAAAGAUAAAGUAAAGCACAAUGAGGGGACACAAAGCAGUUUUAACAAGGAGAAAUGGCACUGAAAGGUGCAACACAGACGCCAACACCAUAAAGCUAAUGCAACAAAACCUCUCUCAACUCCCUUCCCAGUGUACUCAACACCCCCUCUCAGUUGUACCUCCUGCUCACUAUACUCAAACCCCUGCCAUUGUUUAAAAUCAUUUUUGGCCUCUCAUUUUUUCAACAUUUCUGCUUUAUUCAAACCUCUUAUUUUAAACCUCAAUUUUCCUCUGUAUUCCUCCAUCCCUGCUUUACUCAAACCUCUGUUGUAGGAAAACAAAACAAAACUAUUUUCUUCUCAGUGUAGGUUAGUAGUGGAGCUGUAGGUUAGUAGUAGAGCUCAUGCUUUGCAUACAGAAGAUUCCAGGUUCAAUGUCAGCCAUCUCCAAGUAGGGCUGGGAAAUACUCCUGUCUGGCACCCUACUGCUGCUGGUCAGUGUAGACAUUACUGAACUAGAUGGAUCAACUUGGUAUAAGGCAGCUUCCUGUGUCCCAAUGACUCCCACAAGUAGUUUCUGAAGCUCUGUUCAUGUAUUCUGUGAAAUUCCUGGCUCGGGUGAUAGGGAUGGUGCCUGACAUCUCAGCUCGCAACUUCUACUUUCUACUGAAGCUCUAAAGAACUAGACAUUGUGACCAGACUCUCAGCAUUUUCCCAGGGCUGCUCUAAAUUGCUAGCCUACCUGGCUUAACCUGGUACUCCCUGUGGCUCAGUGCCGACAGUCCCACCCCACCCCUUGCUUGGCAAAGGCAUCCUGGCCUACUGCGAAUUUACUUAGUGACAAAUUUAUUUCCUUUGUUUAUUUAGAUCACUAUCUCUAUAGUGCCAUAUCAUUAAAUGUCAGGGAGGUGUACAACUACAAAAUGUAAAAACAAGACGAAUCAAGACAAGAUGUGAUCUUUCCAAUAUCCACCCUUCUCGGUCCCUCAGAGGGAGAGAGAGGGAGUUGGUUUUGUGAUUGUUGGUGGGAUUUAUUUUUAACCUAAACAAACAGUUUAGCAGAAUAUUUUGGUAACUGUCAUUUCUGGAAUUCACAAGUGCUGACUCUCAGGUCGCGGGAGAAGUGAUGGAGGGGGGGGGAAACGAGUGUUUUAAAAAGGGACCACUCGGGAAUGCUCUGUGGGAACAGAACAUAAGUUUACGUAGGAGUCGCCUAAGGAAUCAGACCAAAUGUCCAGGAAGUCCAAUAUCCCAUUUCCAGGAGUGGCCAGAGUGGUAGGGCUGGGAGAGGUGGGGCUGCCCUCCACACAGAAGUGUCCCUGUGGUUUACUGGGACAGUGCAGCCUUACGGGAAGGUUGUGGUGAGGGAGGGGCUACAUGUGCACAGGAGCACCAGAUUGGCUCUGCCAAUGUGGCCUCCUCCCCACAGGCAUGCCCUCACCACUGCCCUGGAAACAACAGCAAUGCCGCUUUCCAGAGGGCAAUUUUGCACCCUUGUACCAGCUGUUCCCGAGAGCGUCUGGACAAGCCAGGUGCCUCUGGGAAGCUAACCAGGAGAGUAUUAUGUCGGGGGGCUUGGUCAGCCUGGGUGAUAUCCUGGAUCCCUUCCAUGCCUGCUUAGAAUCUAGAAGAGACUGCUCAGCCAGUUUUAAAUAGUUGCUUCUAACUGUUAAUGCUAUAUUCUCUUUGUAAAUCACUUUGAGCGGCAUUCACCUAACCAGCCCUAUCAGUGGAAGCUCUUCACGAAGACUUCCACUUGCACAUUUGGGUUUUCCUCCUCCUCCUCCUCCUUCUGCAUGCCCUGGCACCCCUUGAAAUGGGCUCUGGGCUCGGGUGAACCCCUAGAACAGCACACAAGGGAAAGAGAGGGGAGAUGGUUCCAUCCAACAAGUUGAAGUGCUUGCACAGAUAGAACCAGUGGAAGAGAGCAAUGUUGAAUUCCAGCAAUUUUCCUUAGUCUGCAUAGAUACAUACAAAUUAGCAUGUUUUUCAGUUCUUUUUUAUUUUUUUGUAGUAACACCCUAGAGCUGACGCACAAACAUGCAGUUUUCUGUGCUCCCACAGAAUUGUGGUGAAUGCACAACCCUCUUCUGGGUUUUUAAACACUGCUGGGAAAACAUGCCCAUGGAAACAGUGGCAGAGGCAGGGGUGGCACUCAUAUUAGCCGCUUUGUCUUAGUCUCUUCCUUCCAGCUACCCAUCUACUUUCGUAAGCAGAGAGUCCUUAGCUCACUGGUGGAGCUUGCAAGAAAGUCCCAGGCUGAAUCCCUGAAAAAAGGGCUGGAAAAGGCUCCCUCUCUGAAACCUUGGAGAGCCUCUGCUAGUCAGUGUGGGCAAUACUGAGUUAGAUGGGCCAUUUGCAUGACUCAGUUUCCUGUGUUUCUGACCGAGAACAACUCUAUCCCCCGCUUUUUUCUCUUUACACCAAGGAGCUCCGCAGCUGCUGAGUUGCAAGAGAAUGGGUGUUUCGUCAUCCUGCGUUUUUUCGUUUCUCCCAGCUGGUCUGCAUUGUGAUGGGCUGCUUUGUUCUCUCUGCUCCCCUUUUCUUUGCCUUAUCGUGAAGCCGUUUCCUGCGGGUUCCGAAAAGAAUGGGCAGCAAAGGGGAGUUUACCCAGUAGGUCCCACCCUGGCUUGCCGCACAAAAGGCCUUGUAAUCAUCAUGGCAAACUUUGUAUUGCAGAGAGUGGCGGGGGGGGGGGAGACAAAAAGAGAGACAGACAGAAGGAGGGGGGAAGGGAGAGGAGAGAAAAUUGCGAGGGGGGGGGCGGAGAAUACAGUGGUGCCUCAGGUUACAUACGCUUCAGGUUGCAUACGCUUCAGGUUACAGACUCCGCUAACCCAGAAAUAGUGCUUCAGGUUAAGAACUUUGCUUCAGGAUGAGAACAGAAAUUGUGCUCCGGCGGCGCGGCAGCAGCAGGAGGCCCCAUUAGUUAAAGUGGUGCUUCAGGUUAAGAACAGUUUCAGGUUAAGUACGGACCUCCGGAACGAAUUAAAUACUUAACCUGAGGUACCACUGUAAUAAAAUAGCACCAGUUAGAGGAAGAUGGGGUGAUUUGCAUUUCUGCACACUAGCCUCAUCAUGGACAGCCUCACAUAAAUUUAUUAUUUUUUCCAUUUGCCUCCUACCUAAGGAGCUCAAGCAUCUCUUCUCUGCUCAGAGGCCUUGUAAGACUAUCCCCUCAUUCUAACUGCAAUUUCUAUCACAUGUUUUUUAAAAUCUUUUGUAUUAUAUAGCAUUUUCAAUAUGUGUAUGUUUUAUCUUUCUAUCACAUUGCAUUUUAAACCAUUUAACUUCUCAGGCAUUUGGGAACGGGCUGUGUUUCUUGCUAAGGCUUUUAAAUAGCGCUGUGCUGCUUUUACGAUCUGCAUUUUAAUAGAUUUGUUUUCUUAAAAUAUUGUUUUAACAUCUACUUACUUUUUAACUACUAUCUUUUUAAAAAAAGCUUUUUGUAUUUUAUCUGUGUUGUUUUAAUUUGCGCAAGCUCCCUCGAGUCUCAGCCUGGGGAAAAAGGCAGAAUAUGUUUUGUUUCAGCAGGACUGUGGCCGUAUAAUAAAUGAUUGGUCGACUAAUACUAGUCUGGGAGGUGUAAGUUAGGUCCUAGGCUUUAAAAUGUCGGCCAGAGAAAAUCCUCUGCCAUCCUUAACUGCUGCUAAAUGCACUAGGUCCAUGAAGAAAUCUCAUCCCAGAGAUCUUAAACCAGUUGCAGUGUGUGUGUGUGUGUGUGUGUGUGUGUGUGUGUGUGUGUAGUCUGGAGAGCUUGGGGUUAACAGUGUUGGCCUUGCAGGUGCAACCCAGAGUAAGGUUACCAGAUGUCCCUGUUUCCUGGGGACAGUCCCUGGAUUUACAAAUCAGUCCCCAUACAAAAUCCAUUGAAGUUGAAAAGUGUCCCUGGAUUCAUUGAAAAAAAAUCCGGUAACCUUGACCCAGAGCUCUCCUGUCCUCACCACACCCUGGCAAGCUCAGCGGCACGAUGGAGAGAAUGUCCUAGGUGAAUAUAGUACAGUAGUACCUCGGGUUACAGAUGCUUCAGGUUACAGAUGCUUCAGGUUACAGAUGCUUCAGGUUACAGACUCUGCUAAUCCAGAAAUAGUACCUCGAGUUAAGAACUUUGCUUCAGGAUGACUACAGAAAUCGUGCUUUGGCGGCACGGCAGCGGAGGGAGGCCCCAUUAGCUAAAGUGGUACCUCAGGUUAAGAACAGUUUCAGCUUAAGAACGGACCUCCAGAACAAAUUAAGUUCUUAACCCAAGGUACCACUAUAUUAACAAAUCAUUUAUAUAAUGCUAAAGGGCCGUAAUAGCUGCUGAAUAGUUUGCAAGCAUAAAAUCAGCUACACACAGAUGCACAAACACAAUUAAACAAUAGAACAACCCCACGAAAACACAAAAAUAAACAUCCACAAUUAAAAUGUGCAAUAAAACAAACCAAAUUAAAAAAACAGCACAACAAUUAGAACAGUUAAAACAGAAAUUAAAACAAUUAAAGCAGGAGGCUCAGGAGAUAUGGGUCUAACAAUUGGUUAAACAAUCUCUCCAGCUUCCAAGGGAACUUUGGAAAUUGUAGCUCUGUGUGGGGAAUAGGUGCCCUCUAACCAACCCCCCCCACAUAUCCCAGGAUUAUUUGAGGGAGGACAUGUCUGUUUAAAGUGGUAUGAUACUGCUAUAACUGUAUUGUGCAUAUGGGGCUGAAGCAUCCAAGUGAAUGCAUGCAAGAUGCAGCCACUCACUUCUGAAAAUCCUGAGGAAGCAUGGAGAGGGGCAAAGGGAUACAGGAUUCCUGGGGAAUAAUAGCAUGUGGGGUGUGGCAGUGCUCAAUACCGCCCCCCUGAGAGAGUGAUUACUUCCAUAAGAAGUCAGAAGUUAUGGGGGGUGGAAUGCAGGGAGUGCGGCUCCGAGACUUUUUUCAAAACAGGAGCUACGAUGCCAUCAGCUGCAGUGCUAGGAGAAUUGGUGGGCACUCCCCACCCUGACCCGGCAUGUAAAUGAGGCGAUAAUGAGGCUUUCAAGUUUUACUGUUUGUGUACAGCAUAGUGGAAGUCAGAGAAUAGGAAGAAGAAGAAGAAUUUGGAUUUGAUAUCCCGCUUUAUCACUACCCGAAGGAGUCUCAAAGUGGCUAACAUUCUCCUUUCCCUUCCUCCCCCACAACAAACACUCUGUGAGGUGAGCGGGGCUGAGAGACUUCAGAGAAGUGUGACUAGCCCAAGGUCACCCAGCAGCUGCAUGUGGAGGAGCAGAGACACGAACCUGGUUCACCAGAUUAUGAGUCUACCACUCUUAACCACUACACCACACUGGCUCUUCUAUGGCCAGUUUGCUCUUCUAUGUCUGUCAGAUGAUACGAGUAAGCUGUGUAUUGUGCUAUGCAUUUCUAUUUGGGUGUGUGUUGUCUGUGUGUGCACCCACAUGUCUAUGAUCAACACUGCACCUCCCCCCCUUUUUUACACUCUCCUUGGGAACAUGGCUAAGGGGUCGUGAUGAGUUCAUGAACCUCUGUGCCAUUGGGCAGGUUCGAACCCUGUGCUACCGCUUCUCUCUGUCUUGCGGGUUAACAGCAUCGGACAGCUGGGAGCUCUUGAUCUCUCGCCGGUCAGAGUGCAGGGGUAUUUUGUCGGGUUCCAUUUUGAUAGGCUCCAAACAAUUCCAGGGCACGAUGAAGGCAGAGGAAAUGCCCCGUGAAAAGGUGAUGUCGCAGAUACCUCCGAGGACUCUGGCCAACUGCAGAGGGACGGCUGAUACAUUUAUUAGCUGACAUCUCUGUUUUUGCUGCUUUAGCACUAAUAUUUUCCUUGGCAGAAUUCAAAACGGGGGUAAUGGACUCCAUUCUCAUAUAUAUUUUUUUCUUUAACCAAACAGUUCCAGCAAGGUGGAAAACAAGGCUAAGAGAACAGAUUUGCCUGCAGAGAUACCUGCUCCGGG
This is a non-coding RNA of Podarcis lilfordi (Lilford's wall lizard), 15453 nucleotides long. Lineage: Eukaryota; Metazoa; Chordata; Lepidosauria; Squamata; Lacertidae. The record is from the annotation of a GenBank genome assembly.